AGCGGAGAAACUGAGCAAUUCC
Molecule: microRNA, 22 nt
Filed under: Heliconius melpomene (postman butterfly)
Lineage: Eukaryota; Metazoa; Arthropoda; Insecta; Lepidoptera; Nymphalidae
Description: Hme-Novel-3_3p (mature (guide))
Source: RNAcentral